CUGGUAGGUGACUGCGGAGGACAUUGAAUAUGCAAACCACAACACGCACUCUCUACUUGUGUACCGACGUUAGGUCAACACACGCAAGUGUGUGGCCUACUAACCUACACACCAUUGACCAACCACUGAUCAAACCAAACUCUGAAGCUUUGACUGCCGUUAACCGGUGGUUUUAACCAAGAACAACUCUCAACAACGGAUAUCUUGGCUCUCGCAACGAUGAAGAACGCAGCGAAAUGCGAUACGUAGUGUGAAUUGCAGAAUUCCGUGAACCAUCGAAUCUUUGAACGCAUAUUGCGCUCGACUCCUCGGAGAAGAGCAUGUCUGCCUCAGCGUCGGUUUACACCCUCACCCCUCUUCCCUACCAGGAAGCGUCUAUUGUGCUUGCUCAAGCCGAUAGCAGGGGUGGAUCUGGCUCUCCCAAUCGGAUUCACUUUCGAUUGGGUUGGCUGAAGCACAGAGGCUUAAACUGGGACCCGAUUCGGGCUCAACUGGAUAGGUAGCAACACCCUCGGGUGCCUACACGAAGUUGUGUCUGAGGACCUGGUUAGGAGCCAAGCAGGAAACGCGUUUCUAACGCGUACUCUGUAUUCGACCUGAGCUCAGGCAAGGCUACCCGCUGAACUUAAGCAUAUCAAUAAGCCGGAGGAA
This 651-nucleotide ribosomal RNA is filed under the name Desmodesmus sp. S3. RNAcentral describes it as "eukaryotic LSU rRNA". The stretch from base 185 to 338 matches the Rfam family "5.8S ribosomal RNA". The record is from RNAcentral. Lineage: Eukaryota; Viridiplantae; Chlorophyta; Chlorophyceae; Sphaeropleales; Scenedesmaceae.